UACGUAGGGUGCGAGCGUUAAUCGGAAUUACUGGGCGUAAAGCGUGCGCAGGCGGCCCGUUAAGACAGGUGUGAAAUCCCCGGGCUCAACCUAGGAAUUGCGCUUGUGACUGGAGGGCUUGAGUGCGGUAGAGGGGGGUGGAAUUCCUGGUGUAGCAGUGAAAUGCGUAGAUAUCAGGAGGAACACCGAUGGCGAAGGCAGCCCUCUGGGCCUGCACUGACGCUCAUGCACGAAAGCGUGGGGAGCAAACAGG
This 253-nucleotide ribosomal RNA is filed under the name uncultured microorganism. RNAcentral describes it as "partial 16S ribosomal RNA". It matches the Rfam family "Bacterial small subunit ribosomal RNA", at positions 524 to 776 of the family's 1533-position model. The record is from RNAcentral.